This 413-nucleotide ribosomal RNA is filed under the name uncultured bacterium. Its description in RNAcentral is "bacterial SSU rRNA". It matches the Rfam family "Bacterial small subunit ribosomal RNA", at positions 374 to 774 of the family's 1533-position model. The record is from RNAcentral.
GGCGCAAGCCUGAUCCCAGCCAAUGCCGCGUGCAGGAAAGAAGCCUUUCGGGUUGUAAACCGGUUUUUGUCAGGGAAGAAAUCUUCUGGGUUAAUACCUCGGGAGGAUGACGGUACCUGAAGAAUAAGCACCGGCUAACUACGUGCCAGCAGCCGCGGUAAUACGUAGGGGUGCGAGCGUUAAUCGGAAUUACUGGGCGUAAAGCGUGCGCAGGCGGUUUUGCAAGACAGAUGUGAAAUCCCCGGGCUCAACCUGGGAACUGCAUUUGUGACUGCAAGGCUAGAGUACGGCAGAGGGGGAUGGAAUUCCGCGUGUAGCAGUGAAAUGCGUAGAUAUGCGGAGGAACACCGAUGGCGAAGGCAAUCCCCUGGGCCUGUACUGACGCUCAUGCACGAAAGCGUGGGGAGCAAACA